Molecule: ribosomal RNA, 245 nt
Filed under: uncultured bacterium
Lineage: Bacteria
Description: partial small subunit ribosomal RNA
Rfam family: Bacterial small subunit ribosomal RNA
Source: RNAcentral
AGAAUCAACGCUGGCGGCGUGCCUAACACAUGCAAGUCGCACGAGAAAGUGGAGCAAUCCAUGAGUAAAGUGGCGCACGGGUGAGUAACACGUGAAUAAUCUACCUCCGAGUGGGGAAAUAACUGAGAGAAAUCUUAGCUAAUACCGCAUAAUACCCACGGGUCAAAGCAGCAAUGCGCUUGGAGAGGAGUUCGCGGCCGAUUAGUUAGUUGGCGGGUAAUGGCCCACCAAGACGAUGAUCGGUA